This 253-nucleotide ribosomal RNA is filed under the name uncultured bacterium. Its description in RNAcentral is "partial 16S ribosomal RNA". It matches the Rfam family "Bacterial small subunit ribosomal RNA", at positions 524 to 776 of the family's 1533-position model. The record is from RNAcentral.
UACGUAGGGGGCAAGCGUUGUCCGGAAUCAUUGGGCGUAAAGCGCGUGUAGGCGGCUCGGUAAGUCCGCUCUGAAAGUCCGGGGCUCAACCCCGGGAGGCGGGUGGAUACUGUCGAGCUCGAGUCCGGAAGAGGCGAGUGGAAUUCCUGGUGUAGCGGUGAAAUGCGCAGAUAUCAGGAGGAACACCUAUUGCGAAGGCAGCUCGCUGGGACGUAACUGACGCUGAGACGCGAAAGCGUGGGGAGCAAACAGG